RNAcentral lists this ribosomal RNA (403 nucleotides) under uncultured bacterium. RNAcentral's name for it is "bacterial SSU rRNA". It matches the Rfam family "Bacterial small subunit ribosomal RNA", at positions 355 to 774 of the family's 1533-position model. The record is from RNAcentral.
UAGGGAAUAUUGCAAAAUGGGCGAAAGCCCGAUGCAGCAACGCCGCGUGGGCGAUGAAGGCCUUCGGGUCGUAAAGCCCUUUUUGAGGGGAUGAGGAAGGACAGUACCCUCAGAAUAAGCCUCGGCUAACUACGUGCCAGCAGCCGCGGUAAAACGUAGGAGGCGAGCGUUAUCCGGAAUUAUUGGGUUUAAAGGGUGCGUAGGCGGACUAAUAAGUCAGUGGUGAAAGCCUGCAGCUUAACUGCAGAAUUGCCAUUGAUACUGUUAGUCUUGAGUACAGUUGAGGUAGGCGGAAUGUGUCAUGUAGCGGCGAAAUGCUUAGAUAUGACACAGAACACCGAUUGCGAAGGCAGCUUGCUAAGCUGUAACUGACGCUGAGGCACGAAAGCGUGGGGAGCAAACA